UGGCUCAGGNCGAACGCUGGCGGCGUGCCUAAUACAUGCAAGUCGAGCGGAAUGAUGAAGAAGCUUGCUUCUUCUGAUUUUAGCGGCGGACGGGUGAGUAACACGUGGGCAACCUACCUUGUAGAUUGGGAUAACUCCGGGAAACCGGGGCUAAUACCGAAUAAUCCAUUUUGCUUCAUGGCGAAAUGUUGAGAGGCGGCUUCGGCUGUCACUACGAGAUGGGCCCGCGGCGUAUUAGCUAGUUGGUAGGGUAAUGGCCUACCAAGGCGACGAUACGUAGCCGACCUGAGAGGGUGAUCGGCCACACUGGGACUGAGACACGGCCCAGACUCCUACGGGAGGCAGCGGUAGGGAAUCUUCCGCAAUGGACGAAAGUCUGACGGAGCAACGCCGCGUGAGUGAUGAAGGCUUUCGUGUCGUAAAACUCUGUUGUUAGGGAAGAACAAGUACGAGAGUAACUGCUCGUACCUUGACGGUACCUAACCAGAAAGCCACGGCUAACUACGUGCCAGCAGCCGCGGUAAUACGUAGGUGGCAAGCGUUAUCCGGAAUUAUUGGGGCGUAAAGCGCGCGCAGGCGGUUUCUUAAGUCUGAUGUGAG
RNAcentral lists this ribosomal RNA (600 nucleotides) under bacterium enrichment culture clone F56x_B7_T3-_B07. RNAcentral describes it as "bacterial SSU rRNA". It matches the Rfam family "Bacterial small subunit ribosomal RNA", at positions 20 to 598 of the family's 1533-position model. The record is from RNAcentral.